GCCCCAGUGGCCUAAUGGAUAAGGCACUGGCCUCCUAAAAAACCAGGGAUUGUGGGUUCGAGUCCCAUCUGGGGUG
Dallia pectoralis (Alaska blackfish) is the source of this 76-nucleotide non-coding RNA. Lineage: Eukaryota; Metazoa; Chordata; Actinopteri; Esociformes; Umbridae. The record is from the annotation of a GenBank genome assembly.